Cavia porcellus (domestic guinea pig) is the source of this 137-nucleotide small nucleolar RNA. The record is from Ensembl. Lineage: Eukaryota; Metazoa; Chordata; Mammalia; Rodentia; Caviidae.
CUGGCCCUGAAUCAAGGCCAGCAGCUUCCUGAUGCUGUUGGUUUCAAGCAGGAGCCUAAAGAGAUGUCUUUCUAUGGUUUAUUGGCCAUUUCAGAACUUGGGCAGUGAAAUAUUCAAUUCAUUAGGAAAAAACAGCU